AUUGAUAAUGACAGUCUAUAUAUUAUGUCUUGACCAAUUACCUGCCAKCAGUCGCGGUAAUACGUAUGAGACUAGUGUUAUUCAUCUUAAAUAGGUUUAAAGGGUACCUAKACGGCAAAUGUCACCUUUAAAAGGUUAUUAUUUUGCUAGAGUUUUAUGUGAAGAGGCCGUACUUGUGAGUGGAGAGUUAAAAUUCUGUGAUACCUGGGGGACGGAUAACGGCGAAGGCAGCCUCUUAUGUACAAACUGACGUUGAAGGACGAAGGCAUUGCGGCACGAAAAGGAUUAKGGACCCUAGUAGUCUUUGCAKAAAAUGAUGAAUGCCAUAGAUUAGGUUGUUACUUAGUUUAUAAAUGAAAGUGUAAGCAUUUCACCUCAAGAGUAAUGCGGCAACGCAGGAACUGAAAUCACUAGACCGUUUCUGACACCAGUAGUGAAGUAUGUUGUUUAAUUCGAUGAUCCACGAAAAAUCUUACCACAAUUUGAAUAGAAUAAAAUAAUUAUCUACGGUUACGGGUAGUUUAAUAUAUUUAUUCAUACAAGCGUUGCACGGCUGUUUCCAGUUAAUGUUGUGAAACUGUGGCAAAAGCCAUGGAAUUAACGUAAACCUGAGCUUUAUUUGUAAAUAUAUUAUUUUGAUAGGGCUGAUUCGUCCAUUAUAUYGGAUCUGAUAACAGGGACUAAGACAAGUCAUCAUGGCCUUGAUAUUGUGGCGCUAAAGAC
Molecule: ribosomal RNA, 723 nt
Filed under: Diaporthe phaseolorum
Lineage: Eukaryota; Fungi; Ascomycota; Sordariomycetes; Diaporthales; Diaporthaceae
Description: SSU rRNA
Rfam family: Bacterial small subunit ribosomal RNA
Source: RNAcentral